RNAcentral lists this long non-coding RNA (1067 nucleotides) under Manacus vitellinus (golden-collared manakin). Its description in RNAcentral is "lncRNA (ENSMVIG00005004692.1)". Lineage: Eukaryota; Metazoa; Chordata; Aves; Passeriformes; Pipridae. The record is from RNAcentral.
ACAGACCCUGGCGCUGCCACCUCCGGCACGUUUCUCGUCAUCCCUGUUCUUACAGAUGUUUUUUUCUUCUUUCGGAGGCGGCACAAACAACUACUUGAAAACUACCAGCGACUUUGAUCAAGAAGAGGGGCUGGCGUGGCUGACCGGGCAGUCAUGGCAAUGCAGGCUUCUCCCGGGUUUUCCUUCCAGCGGCACGAGCCCAUGAUGGGGAAGGCAGACCCACAGCCCGGGAGGUGCGGGGCGCCCGCCGGCAUAACCUUCGCGGCAACUCAGGCACCGCGCUGAAAAUCUGUGUGUGCUGUUUUAGGAGUAUCCCCCUCACACCGUUUCCCCAGAAUAUCAAUUGUUAACGCUUGUGUGAAAGGAGAACAAGGCUGGAGGCGGGGGAGCCUGCCUAGUAUUACUGCGGUACAUGCCCGCUGUCCGGCGUGCCCGGCGUUGGGCAGCCUGGCCUCUCGGAUGUUUCAGGAGUUUCUCUCCUCUCCAGCUAGCCAUUUGCGUUACAUUGCUUUCCAGGCCAUGGUGGGAGGAUGGCAGAGAUGGCAGACGGGUCAGGCUACCAGCCAACACAGGGACCAUGAGACAGGAGCAAGCAGACUGAGUGACGUGCCGGUGAGAGAUUUGGCACAGCAAAAGAGUGAAAGCCUAUUAAUUACCGAACUCACAGCACCAGCAGAAGCGACUGCCCAUUCUCCUGUUCUUCAGUCCCAUUUGGCUGAUGGAAAAUCUGGGUAAAAUGUGUUGUUUUCCUUAACAUUUUGUUCUAUAUAUUUUGGACAGUUGCCCUACAAUUUCCUCCCUUUUCUACUAUUCCUCCUAUGUGCACUUUUUUCAGUAUUUGAAACUCAAGCCCUAGUCUGCAAUUGAACUGACAUUAAUGAAAGAAUAUUUACCUGGACAGACCCAGUGGGCCAAAGCUCAUGUUCUUGGGCUCAGCUGUGGUGAGAACCUUCCUAGGCCAGAUGCUAAUGUAAGAUGUUUUCCAAAACUGAAGAGUGGUGUGACUCAAACUCAUCUAAACAGUGAGAACAUACUUCUCUGAACAGUGUCAGAGAGGGGAAAAUAUG